UUUUAUGGAAGAGUAUGUGGUUGAAAAUAGGAGAGAGAAAAUUAUAAUGUAAUUUAAUGAGAUUCAAACAUGGGCUAAAAUUAUGUUCCUCUCUCUUUAUUUAUUAUUUGAAAAUUCAUGCGCAGAAGAUGAUUGGAUGGCACAAUUAGUUAUUUUACAUGUACGUAAUGGUAUGUAGUUCCUUAAGAAGCAUACAAGUGAGGAUGUUUUUCGUACAAUGUUGAGAUGAAAGAGUCAGAAUCUUAUUUAAUUAGCCACCAUUAUUAAAGUAAAGAUGAAACAUGUUGUACUUGUUGGUGUUGAAAUAUCUUGACCAAGUGUAGAUGGUAAUUCAAUAUUAACCCU
Molecule: long non-coding RNA, 345 nt
Filed under: Olea europaea (common olive)
Lineage: Eukaryota; Viridiplantae; Streptophyta; Magnoliopsida; Lamiales; Oleaceae
Description: long non-coding RNA (OEUR_LNC015124)
Source: RNAcentral